Molecule: ribosomal RNA, 253 nt
Filed under: uncultured bacterium
Lineage: Bacteria
Description: partial 16S ribosomal RNA
Rfam family: Bacterial small subunit ribosomal RNA
Source: RNAcentral
UACGUAGGGGGCUAGCGUUGUCCGGAAUCAUUGGGCGUAAAGCGCGUGUAGGCGGCUCGGUAAGUCCGCUCUGAAAGCCCGGGGCUCAACCCCGGGAGGCGGGUGGAUACUGUCGAGCUCGAGUCCGGAAGAGGCAAGUGGAAUUCCCGGUGUAGCGGUGAAAUGCGCAGAUAUCGGGAGGAACACCGGUGGCGAAGGCGGCAUCCUGGACCGGUAUUGACGCUGAGGCGCGAAAGCCAGGGGAGCAAACGGG